UCAGGAUGAACGCUGGCGGCGUGCUUAACACAUGCAAGUCGAACGAAGCUCCUAAACCUGAGAUUCGUCAAGGGCGAGGGAUGACUUAGUGGCGGACGGGUGAGUAAUGCGUGAGCAACCUGCCCUUCAGAGGGGGACAACAGCUGGAAACGGCUGCUAAUACCGCAUAAAGUACAGAUGAGGCAUCUCGACUGUACCAAAGAUUUAUCGCUGAAGGAUGGGCUCACGUCUGAUUAGCUAGUUGGUGAGGUAAUGGCUCACCAAGGCUGCGAUCAGUAGCCGGACUGAGAGGUUGGCCGGCCACAUUGGGACUGAGAUACGGCCCAGACUCCUACGGGAGGCAGCAGUGGGGAAUAUUGGGCAAUGGGCGCAAGCCUGACCCAGCAACGCCGCGUGAAGGAAGGAGGCUUUCGGGUUGUAAACUUCUUUUGGCAGGGACGAAGAAAGUGACGGUACCUGCAGAAUAAGCUCCGGCUAACUACGUGCCAGCCGCUGC
RNAcentral lists this ribosomal RNA (496 nucleotides) under uncultured bacterium. RNAcentral describes it as "bacterial SSU rRNA". It matches the Rfam family "Bacterial small subunit ribosomal RNA", at positions 24 to 518 of the family's 1533-position model. The record is from RNAcentral.